AUACGGAGGAUCCGAGCGUUAUCCGGAUUUAUUGGGUUUAAAGGGUGCGCAGGCGGGAGAUUAAGUCGGCGGUGAAAUUUUGCAGCUCAACUGUAAAAGUGCCUUCGAUACUGGUUUCCUUGAGUGUGGAUGAAGUAGGCGGAAUUUGUGGUGUAGCGGUGAAAUGCUUAGAUAUCACGAGGAACUCCGAUUGCGCAGGCAGCUUACUAAACCACUACUGACGCUCAGGCACGAAGGCGUGGGGAUCAAACAGGAUUAGAUACCCUGGUAGUCCACGCAGUAAACGAUGAUUACUGGCUGUUUGCGAUACAAUGUAAGCGGCUGAGCGAAAGCGUUAAGUAAUCCACCUGGGGAGUACGUUCGCAAGAAUGAAACUCAAAGGAAUUGACGGGG
Molecule: ribosomal RNA, 393 nt
Filed under: uncultured bacterium
Lineage: Bacteria
Description: partial 16S ribosomal RNA
Rfam family: Bacterial small subunit ribosomal RNA
Source: RNAcentral